UGUCUGAAGUCACUUCUAAUAGAAUCUAUGGUUAGUAACAGUACCUUGGCAAUAAUAAUAGUGUCCACUGUGGGAUACAGGGUUUUGAAGGCACCUCUGGCCAGGUGUGAAGAGUGUCUUAACAGUGUCCCUUACUUCAGCAAAGUCUGAAUGGCCGUAGUAGCAGGUUGCCUUGCUGACUCCUAUGCUUGCCCAUGCAAAGUCUUAGUUUUCCAAUCCUCUCCUUUGUCUUUCUCCUUCUCUUCUUCUGUAGAUCAUGUAGAGAUCAGUGAGUCUCUGUAGGUUUUUGGGCCUGAGAAGAGGAAGCAUAGGUCACUGCUUCCUUCCUCUUCAAAUACUCACUCUCAACUCCCUAACUAAGCUGGGGACAGUUCCUAGAUCAUCACCCAACCUCCUGCAAGGGCCAAGCCAGGAUUGUAAACCCUGGCUCUGCCAUCCAUACACAUCGAUACUGGGUACUGUACUUAAUAUGACAAUGCAUAACAGCAUAUUAUAUAAUAUAUAACAUAACAAACAAUUUUCAGAUACCCCUGCUUUGGGAUACUGUAUACAGUACCUACUCCUCACUGCUCCAUUCCAGGUCACUGGGUCUGUUUGGCGAUCUUCUGGCUCCUUAUUUAUUUACCUUCUAGGUGGCGUUUGGAAGGGCUCACAUUUGCCAGCAGUAACCAACCUGCCACUGGGAACUGAGUCAAGUCAUUGGCUGCAGCGUCACACGUGACUCCUUCUAUACCCAUCCAGAAAUAAGCAAACAGGGGACCAGAAAUUCACCGGAAGUAGCAAGGGCACUGGAACAGAACGGCAGGGAACAGAUGAACACUGAAAUGCAAAGGCCACAAAACCUGCCGGCCAUAAAGCUUGUGGAUAAUUCAUGGAGCGGGGGACACCUUGUCAUCAGCCUAUUGUGGCCAGGAGCCUAAAGAAUGGCAAGCAGCAGGUGUGCGCAGAGCGAGCCACACAGACAUGGCCGGGCCAUAGAAUUCCCAGCUGCAGCCCCAACUCCACGUCUCAUUCAUUUUCACAAACUCGGCUCAUUUGGCGAUUGUGUCAGGAGUAAUGGGCUUUUCUCAGCUUUAGGACGAACAGAUACACAAUGACCAGGAACACGAAAAGCAUGACAGAUACUAGUGCCAGGAUGAGGGAGCGGUAAGAUUCCCUCUUGAAAGAU
Long non-coding RNA from Bufo bufo (common toad), 1168 nucleotides. RefSeq lists it as uncharacterized. NCBI's taxonomy places the organism in Eukaryota, Metazoa, Chordata, Amphibia, Anura, Bufonidae. The record is from RefSeq and is a predicted model, not a curated record. The transcript has 3 exons.